Long non-coding RNA from Strongylocentrotus purpuratus (purple sea urchin), 227 nucleotides. RefSeq lists it as uncharacterized. Lineage: Eukaryota; Metazoa; Echinodermata; Echinoidea; Camarodonta; Strongylocentrotidae. The record is from RefSeq and is a predicted model, not a curated record. The transcript is spliced from 3 exons.
UGUAUUCGCAUCGAUUAGAGAUACUCUUAGAUAAGUUAUCUAAGCGUCCAGUCAUUUCGUCGUAGCUUUGGAACGAUAUCACUUUAAUCAAAAUGAAGCCAAUGAUGUUUACUCUGUGUAUAUUGCUGUGUGCAAUGCUGAUUACUGUCGAAGGCCGCCGACACAAGCGGUCAAGCAGCGCAUCAAGUAGUAGCGAAAGCGAAUCAACUGAAACAGGUACGGAUACA